CGGAUUUUUACGAGAUGGGUCAAACUGAGGUCACUUUGCAUACAGAAAGUAUAUGUACAUAAGUUUUAUAAUUGAAAACUAUCCAUUGUGUUAUAAAAAAACAUAUGCAUUAUUUUUUUUUUUAAUUUGAGGUUUCUUAUGACUUUAAUAAAAUUGAGAAUGGAAAUGGGGAAUGUGUCAAAGAGACAACAACCCGACCAAAUAAAAAACAACAGCAGAGGGUCACCAACAGGUCUUGUGUCCGGGGCUCAACAAAGGUAUAUACUAUAUAAUGAUAUACUAAGUAUGUUAAAUUAACCAUGUGUUCGUAUCCAGUCGUCCUGGUGUAGUGGUUUGAGUCGUGGAUUGAUAUGCUGAAGGACUUGAGUUCGAUUCCCAGCAUAGCCAUACGUUUUGACAGUUAGUCUUAUCUAUAUAAAUAAUUCUUAGUUUUAUUGUGGAUUAAGUAUUUCUGUCAAAAUGUUACAAAACAUAGGAAAGAAUAAUGAUCUGGUAGCGGUGAUCCGGCAUCACCUAUCGACCCACGACUCAAAUCCCUAACCAGGACGACUGGAUACGAACUCGCUGUUAAUUUAAUAUACUUAAAACAUUGUUUCCGGGCUAAUUAAAGGUAUAUACUAAAUAAUGAUAUACAUGUAUAAAGUAUAUAAUAAGGAUUGUUUGGCGUCCAAAACUAAAUUUAAUGAAGUGUAAAUGUUGGAUGUAAAAUAGUUAUCCCAUUCAGACUGCACUUGACAGUGUAAGAUCAUACACUGAAACACUGCGUCCUCAUUUGAUAACUAUUACUGAAACACCAAAUCCUACAAUUUAAUUGGUCGAAAGCACUUUGCUAUAUUCUAAUUGGGAUUAGUAUACAAAUCGACACACAGUCCAUAGUCCGUAAAACAUCGUUUAAAUUGUGUAUGUUAAUUGUGUUGACAGGUCAUUCAAUUUAUAACGUUAAUUUGUCAAAUUUUAAGACGAAUAUGUAUAUCACUCGUGGUAUUUAUCGAGCCUUAGUCUCAUUUCCUUUAUUUUUUUCAAAGUGAAAAUCGUGCAAUUUCUGUUUUGUAGGAGCCGAUCUUAAUUAUUCAUAUUAAUUCAAAGUAGCAGUAAUAAUUGUAUAUUUCCUUUUAGGGUCCAGGUGACAUUUCUGGUGGAUGUCGCUGUAGAGUUAAUGCUAAACCUUGCCAUCCAGACUGUAAUAAUUGUCAUUAAGACUCCGUGCCUAGUAUCAUCUAGCAGCAGUGAGGAAUAUUUUUAUGAUAAAUGUGUAUACUAUAUAUUGCUGUGUAUUUUUAACCAAAUAAAUAUU
Molecule: long non-coding RNA, 1294 nt
Filed under: Mytilus galloprovincialis (Mediterranean mussel)
Lineage: Eukaryota; Metazoa; Mollusca; Bivalvia; Mytilida; Mytilidae
Source: RNAcentral